RNAcentral lists this small nuclear RNA (107 nucleotides) under Vulpes vulpes (red fox). The record is from RNAcentral. Lineage: Eukaryota; Metazoa; Chordata; Mammalia; Carnivora; Canidae.
GUGCUCGCUUCGGCAGCACAGACGCAAAAGUUGGAAUGAUACAGAGAAGAUUAGCAUGGCCUCUGAACAAGGAUGACAUGCAAAUUCAUGAAGCAUUACAUAUAAAG